Molecule: ribosomal RNA, 468 nt
Filed under: uncultured bacterium
Lineage: Bacteria
Description: partial 16S ribosomal RNA
Rfam family: Bacterial small subunit ribosomal RNA
Source: RNAcentral
GACGAACGCUGGCGGCGUGCUUAACACAUGCAAGUCGAACGGAAAGGCCCUGCUUUUGUGGGGUGCUCGAGUGGCGAACGGGUGAGUAACACGUGAGUAACCUGCCCUUGACUUUGGGAUAACUUCAGGAAACUGGGGCUAAUACCGGAUAGGAGCUCCUGCUGCAUGGUGGGGGUUGGAAAGUUUCGGCGGUUGGGGAUGGACUCGCGGCUUAUCAGCUUGUUGGUGGGGUAGUGGCUUACCAAGGCUUUGACGGGUAGCCGGCCUGAGAGGGUGACCGGCCACCUUGGGCCUGCGAUACGGCCCAGACUCCUGCGGGAGGCAGCAGUGGGGAAUAUUGCACAAUGGGCGGACGCCUGAUGCAGCAACGCCGCGUGCGGGAUGCCGGCCUUCGGGUUGUAAACCGCUUUCGCCUGUGACGAAGCGUGAGUGACGGUAAUGGGUAAAGAAGCACCGGCUAACUACGUG